This is a long non-coding RNA of Sinocyclocheilus grahami, 411 nucleotides long. RefSeq lists it as uncharacterized. The transcript has 3 exons. The record is from RefSeq and is a predicted model, not a curated record. NCBI's taxonomy places the organism in Eukaryota, Metazoa, Chordata, Actinopteri, Cypriniformes, Cyprinidae.
CUGAAAUUGUCGUCAAUAAACAGGAACGUCAGGGCAGGCAGAAGGUCAAAACCAGAAUAACAGUCCAAUUUAACAACACUUACAGGGGCAAUCCAGAAGGCUAAAGUGAGCAGGCAGGCAAAAGGUCCAAACACAUACAUCUGAUCAGGCAAACUAAGCAAGGGGGAUAAUCCAGGUAAUCGUUAGGUAGGUAAACAGGCAGAAUCAUACACUGAACAGGCAAUCAGGAUAUAAAGAGAAAACGCUUGGUAAGGCAGGUUAACUGGCAAUACUUCGCAAUGAGCAUGAGCACAGUCUCUGGCUAUAAAGCAACCAAACAGGAAAUGAGUGUAGAGGAAGCAGAGGGAGUGGAACACAGUCAGUACUCUGGUGAGGGCUUCCUCUGCUGGCUUGGCAUUACAGAACCCCCAC